Molecule: ribosomal RNA, 505 nt
Filed under: uncultured bacterium
Lineage: Bacteria
Description: partial 16S ribosomal RNA
Rfam family: Bacterial small subunit ribosomal RNA
Source: RNAcentral
GACGAACGCUGGCGGCGUGCCUAAUACAUGCAAGUAGAACGCACAGUUUAUACCUUAGCUUGCUACACCAUAGACUGUGAGUUGCGAACGGGUGAGUAACGCGUAGGUAACCUGCCGGGUAGCGGGGGAUAACUAUUGGAAACGAUAGCUAAUACCUCAUACUAUUUAUUAUUGCAUGAUAAUUGAUUGAAGGAUGCUAUUGCAUCACUACCAGAUGGACCUGCGUUGUAUUAGCUAGUAGGUGAGGUAACGGCUCACCUAGGCGACGAUACAUAGCCGAACUGCGAGGGUGAUCGGCCAAACUGGGACGGAGACACGGCCCAGACUCCUACGGGAGGCAGCCGUAGGGAAUCUUGGGCAAUGGACGAAAGUCUGACCGAGCAACGCCGAGUGAGUGAAGAAGGUUGUCGGAUCGUAAAGCUCUGUUGUAAGAGAAGAACGGGUGUGAGAGUGGAAAGUUCACACUGUGACGGUAACUUACCAGAAAGGGACGGCUAACUACGUG